UACAGAGGGUGCAAGCGUUGUUCGGAAUCACUGGGCGUAAAGCGCGCGUAGGCGGCUUUGCAAGUCUGGUGUGAAAGCCCUCGGCUCAACCGAGGAAGUGCGCCCGAAACUGCAGAGCUUGAGUACCGGAGAGGGUGGCGGAAUUCCCCAAGUAGAGGUGAAAUUCGUAGAUAUGGGGAGGAACACCGGUGGCGAAGGCGGCGACCUGGACGGAUACUGACGCUGAGACGCGAAAGCGUGGGGAGCAAACAGG
RNAcentral lists this ribosomal RNA (253 nucleotides) under uncultured bacterium. RNAcentral describes it as "partial 16S ribosomal RNA". It matches the Rfam family "Bacterial small subunit ribosomal RNA", at positions 524 to 776 of the family's 1533-position model. The record is from RNAcentral.